AAUAUUGGACAAUGGGGGCAACCCUGAUCCAGCCAUGCCGUGUGUGUGAAUAAGGUCUUCUGUUUGUAAAGCACUUUAUGUUGGGAGGAAGGGCUUUAGGCUAAUACCCUGAAGUUUUGACGUUACCAACAGAAUACGCACCGGCUAACUCUGUGCUAGCAGCCGCGGUAAUACAGAGGUUGCAUGCGUUAAUCGGAAUUACUUGGCGUAAAGAGCGCGUAGGUGGUUCAGUAAGAUGGGUGUGAAAUCCCCGGGCUUAACCUGGGAACUGCUUUCAUAACUGCUGAGCUAGAGUACGGUAGAGGGUAGUGGAAUUUCCUGUGUAGCGGUGAAAUGCGUAGAUAUAGGAAGGAACACCAGUGGCGAAGGCGACUACCUGGACUGAUACUGACACUGAGGUGCGAAAGCGUGGGGAGCAAAC
Molecule: ribosomal RNA, 421 nt
Filed under: uncultured bacterium
Lineage: Bacteria
Description: partial 16S ribosomal RNA
Rfam family: Bacterial small subunit ribosomal RNA
Source: RNAcentral